RNAcentral lists this ribosomal RNA (371 nucleotides) under uncultured bacterium. RNAcentral's name for it is "bacterial SSU rRNA". It matches the Rfam family "Bacterial small subunit ribosomal RNA", at positions 527 to 896 of the family's 1533-position model. The record is from RNAcentral.
GUAGGUGGCGAGCGUUGUCCGGAAUUAUUGGGCGUAAAGCGCGCGCAGGUGGGAUCUUAAGUCUGUUUUUAAAGUGCGGAGCUCAACUCCGUGAUGGGAUGGAAACUGGGAUUCUUGAGUAUCGGAGAGGAAAGCGGAAUUCCCCGUGUAGCGGUGAAAUGCGUAGAUAUGGGGAGGAACACCAGUGGCGAAGGCGGCUUUCUGGACGAUGUCUGACACUGAGGCGCGAAAGCUAGGGGAGCGAACGGGAUUAGAUACCCCGGUAGUCCUAGCCGUAAACGAUGGGUACUAGGUGGUGGGGGGUGUCAACUCCUCCCGUGCCGGCGCUAACGCAAUAAGUACCCCGCCUGGGGAGUACGGCCGCAAGGUUG